RNAcentral lists this ribosomal RNA (486 nucleotides) under uncultured bacterium. RNAcentral's name for it is "partial 16S ribosomal RNA". It matches the Rfam family "Bacterial small subunit ribosomal RNA", at positions 30 to 507 of the family's 1533-position model. The record is from RNAcentral.
AUUGAACGCUGGCGGCAUGCCUUACACAUGCAAGUCGAACGGCAGCACGGGUGCUUGCACCUGGUGGCGAGUGGCGAACGGGUGAGUAAUACAUCGGAACAUGUCCUGUAGUGGGGGAUAGCCCGGCGAAAGCCGGAUUAAUACCGCAUACGAUCUACUGAUGAAAUCGGGGGACCUUCGGCCCUCCCCCUUUCGGUUUGCCGGUUGGCUGAUUAGUUGGUUGGGGGGGUAAAGGCCUACCAAGGCGACGAUCAGUAGCUGGUCUGAGAGGACGACCAGCCACACUGGGACUGAGACACGGCCCAGACUCCUACGGGAGGCAGCAGUGGGGAAUUUUGGACAAUGGGCGAAAGCCUGAUCCAGCAAUGCCGCGUGUGUGAAGAAGGCCUUCGGGUUGUAAAGCACUUUUGUCCGGAAAGAAAUCCUUGGCCCUAAUACGGUCGGGGGAUGACGGUACCGGAAGAAUAAGCACCGGCUAACUACGUG